This 482-nucleotide ribosomal RNA is filed under the name uncultured bacterium. RNAcentral's name for it is "partial 16S ribosomal RNA". It matches the Rfam family "Bacterial small subunit ribosomal RNA", at positions 30 to 507 of the family's 1533-position model. The record is from RNAcentral.
AUUGAACGCUGGCGGCAUGCCUUACACAUGCAAGUCGAACGGUCACACGCCGCAAGGUGCUGACGAGUGGCGACCGGGUGCGUAGUGCAUCGGCACGUGCACAGUCGUGGGGGAUCUCUGAUCGAUAGGGUAAACAAUACCGCAUACGAUCUAUGGUUGAAAACCGGGGACCUCAAUACUUAGAGACAUUUGUGCUGCCGAUGAUAGAUGAGGUAGUUGGUGGGGUAAAGGCUCACCAAGCCAACGAUUAGUAGCGGGUCUGAGAGGACGACCAGCCACACUGGGACUGAGACACGGCCCAGACUCCUACGGGAGGCAGCAGUGGGGAAUUUUGGACAAUGGGCGCAAGCCUGAUCCAGCAAUGCCGCGUGAAGGAAGAAGGCCUUCGGGUUGUAAACUUCUUUUGUACGGAACGAAACGGCUCUGGUGAAUACCCGGGGCUAAUGACGGUACCGUAAGAAUAAGCACCGGCUAACUACGUG